Molecule: ribosomal RNA, 468 nt
Filed under: uncultured bacterium
Lineage: Bacteria
Description: partial 16S ribosomal RNA
Rfam family: Bacterial small subunit ribosomal RNA
Source: RNAcentral
GACGAACGCUGGCGGCGUGCUUAACACAUGCAAGUCGAACGGAAAGGCCCUGCUUUUGUGGGUUGCUCGAGUGGCGAACGGGUGAGUAACACGUGAGUAACCUGCCCUUGCCUUUGGGAUAACUUCAGGAAACUGGGGCUAAUACCGGAUAGGAGCUCCUGCUGCAUGGUGGGGGUGGGAAAGUUUCGGCGGUUGGGGAUGGACUCGCGGCUUAUCAGCUUGUUGGUGGGGUAGUGGCUUACCAAGGCUUUGACGGGUAGCCGGCCUGAGAGGGUGACCGGCCACAUUGGGACUGAGAUACGGCCCAGACUCCUACGGGAGGCAGCAGUGGGGAAUAUUGCACAAUGGGCGGAAGCCUGAUGCAGCAACGCCGCGUGCGGGAUGACGGCCUUCGGGUUGUAAACCGCUUUCGCCUGUGACGAAGCGUGAGUGACGGUAAUGGGUAAAGAAGCACCGGCUAACUACGUG